Molecule: ribosomal RNA, 484 nt
Filed under: uncultured bacterium
Lineage: Bacteria
Description: partial 16S ribosomal RNA
Rfam family: Bacterial small subunit ribosomal RNA
Source: RNAcentral
AUUGAACGCUGGCGGCAUGCUUUACACAUGCAAGUCGAACGGCAGCGCGGGCUUCGGCCUGGCGGCGAGUGGCGAACGGGUGAGUAAUGCAUCGGAACGUGCCCAGUAGUGGGGGAUAGCCCGGCGAAAGCCGGAUUAAUACCGCAUACGACCUGAGGGUGAAAGCGGGGGACCGAAAGGCCUCGCGCUAUUGGAGCGGCCGAUGUCGGAUUAGCUAGUUGGUGGGGUAAAGGCUUACCAAGGCGACGAUCCGUAGCUGGUCUGAGAGGACGACCAGCCAGACGGGGACUGAGAAACGGCCCAGACUCCUACGGGAGGCAGCAGUGGGGAAUGUUGGAAAAAGGGGGCAACCCUGAUCCAGCCAUGCCGCGUGCGGGAAGAAGGCCUUCGGGUUGUAAACCGCUUUUGUUCGGGAAGAAAUCCUCUGGGCUAAUACCCCGGGGGGAUGACGGUACCGGAAGAAUAAGCACCGGCUAACUACGUG